This is a small nuclear RNA of Molossus molossus (Pallas's mastiff bat), 106 nucleotides long. NCBI's taxonomy places the organism in Eukaryota, Metazoa, Chordata, Mammalia, Chiroptera, Molossidae. The record is from RefSeq and is a predicted model, not a curated record.
GUGCUCGCUUCAGCAGAACAUAUACUAAAAUUGGAACGAUACAGAGAAGAUUAGCAUGGCCCUGUACAAGGAUGACACGCUAAUUUGUGAAGCAUUCCAUAUUUUU